UUGAUAUAUUUUAGUCUGACCUGCUCACUGAAAUAAAUUUAAAGAGCCGCGGUAUUUUGACCGUGCAAAGGUAGCAUAAUCAUUAGUUUCUUAAUUAGAGGCUUGAAUGAAUGGUUUGAUGAGAAAUUAACUGUCUCUUAAUAAAUUUUAGAAUUUAACUUUUAAGUUAAAAGGCUUAAAUACUUCUUUAGGACGAGAAGACCCUAUAGAGCUUGAUAUUUAUAAGUUUUAUAUUAUUUUAGGUUAUCUUUUAUGUAAUUUUUUAUUAUUUGGUUGGGGUGACAUGAAGAAUAAUUAAACUCUUCAUUAUUAAAUCAUUGAUUUAUGUUCAUUUGAUCCAUAAUUUAUGAUCAUAAGAUUAAGUUACCUUAGGGAUAACAGCGUAAUCAUUUUUGAGAGUUCAUAUCGACAAAAUGGAUUGCGACCUCGAUGUUGGAUUAAGAUUAAUUUUAGGUGUAGUAGCUUAAUAAUUAGGUCUGUUCGACCUUUAAAUUCUUAC
RNAcentral lists this ribosomal RNA (499 nucleotides) under Bryodemella tuberculata diluta. Its description in RNAcentral is "partial 16S ribosomal RNA". It matches the Rfam family "Archaeal large subunit ribosomal RNA", at positions 1930 to 2668 of the family's 2987-position model. Lineage: Eukaryota; Metazoa; Arthropoda; Insecta; Orthoptera; Acrididae. The record is from RNAcentral.